Molecule: long non-coding RNA, 229 nt
Filed under: Mytilus galloprovincialis (Mediterranean mussel)
Lineage: Eukaryota; Metazoa; Mollusca; Bivalvia; Mytilida; Mytilidae
Source: RNAcentral
GUUUGCGGCAAACUUGCCGCAACCAUUUUACCAUGCAAAUGAAGUUUGCGGCAAGCUUGCGGCAAACAUAAUUAUGCAAAUUAGAUUUGCCGCAAGCUUGCGGCAAUUGUUUGCUGCAAGCUUGCGGCAAUUGUUUGUUGCAAACUUGCGGCAAACUUGCAGGAACUACACAUAUACCAAUGUCAUGUGUGUAGACACAUUCAAUUUAUCUCUUUCAAAUUACACAGCA